GAUGAACGCUGGCGGCGUGCCUAAUACAUGCAAGUCGAGCGAACAGAUGAGGAGCUUGCUCCUCUGACGUUAGCGGCGGACGGGUGAGUAACACGUGGAUAACCUACUUAUAAGACUGGGAUAACUUCGGGAAACCGGAGCUAGUACCGGAUAAUAUAUUGAACCGGAUGGUUCAAUAGUGAAAGACGGUUUUGCUGUCACUUAUAGAUGGAUCCGCGCCGCAUUAGCUAGUUGGUAAGGUAACGGCUUACCAAGGCAACGAUGCGUAGCCGACCUGAGAGGGUGAUCAGCCACACUGGAACUGAGACACGGUCCAGACUCCUACGGGAGGCAGCAGUGGGGAAUCUUCCGCAAUGGGCGAAAGCCUGACGCAGCAACGCCGCGUGAGUGAUGAAGGUCUUCGGAUCGUAAAACUCUGUUAUUAGGGAAGAACAAAUGUAUGAGUAACUAUGCACGUCUUGACGGUACCUAAUCAGAAAGCCACGGCUAACUACGUG
RNAcentral lists this ribosomal RNA (497 nucleotides) under uncultured bacterium. RNAcentral's name for it is "partial 16S ribosomal RNA". It matches the Rfam family "Bacterial small subunit ribosomal RNA", at positions 28 to 507 of the family's 1533-position model. The record is from RNAcentral.